Molecule: transfer RNA, 73 nt
Filed under: Choricystis parasitica
Lineage: Eukaryota; Viridiplantae; Chlorophyta; Trebouxiophyceae
Description: tRNA-Gly
Rfam family: tRNA
About the family: Transfer RNA (tRNA) molecules are approximately 80 nucleotides in length. Their secondary structure includes four short double-helical elements and three loops (D, anti-codon, and T loops).
Source: RNAcentral
GCGGAUUUAGCUCAAUUGGUAGAGCGCCGGUUUUCCACACCUGAGGUCACGGGUUCGAUUCCCGUAAUCCGCU